This is a long non-coding RNA of Ctenopharyngodon idella (grass carp), 1487 nucleotides long. RefSeq lists it as uncharacterized. The transcript is spliced from 4 exons. Lineage: Eukaryota; Metazoa; Chordata; Actinopteri; Cypriniformes; Xenocyprididae. The record is from RefSeq and is a predicted model, not a curated record.
UCAGGGUCGACGGUCUACACACGUGCUUCCCGCGGGGCUGUCGGCGGCAGCUGACUUUCUCACAGGCUGCAUGUCAUUACGGAGCUAUGCGUAACACAAACAAUUCCUCGCUCCCAGAGUGUUUAUCUCGUGGCACAGAGCACGGUGUGCCCACACAUCAAAGUCGGAGGGAACAGACGCUGCUCAGCGGCAGCAGCUGCGCUCGGAUCCUGUCCACACCCUUCCUGUUUGCCGCGGUCUACCUUGGGGCUGUUAUUUUCCCAACAGAGCGACGAUAACCCCCCUCUGCCUCACUCCCUUCACCGGCUUCAACAGCACCACCGACCGCUGCGGACACCGCAGCAGCAGCAGCAGCCGCCGCUCGCAUUCUCCAGCUCCGGGUCAAGACCCUCAUAACGCCGUUUCCUCAGUCGGAAUGGCCCAUGCAGUUUUCUCUGUGAGAGAGAGGCCGAUUGAGUCUCCAGCUGCCAUCACACAAAAACAUCUUCACAGGCGUGCGGCAGCAGCAACCAUGUUUAUCUUCUGGCAGAUGGGAUGGCAAGCCAAUCAGCAUAAUGUAUUUCUUGGACACCAGUGAGAUGAACUAAUGGAACAGGAGGCACAUAUAGACUGACUGGGGGCGUCCAGGGCAGCUGCUUCCCUGCAAGCAGAGCGAGCCAGAAGCCACUGAUAUGGGAGCCGAGCCAGACUGCUUAUGCAAUUGGAUUAAACUGUUACGAUUUUUGGCGUCAAACAGCAACAUCAAUGCGUUUAAGUUUCGUCUUGUCUUGAAUGAAAAUGUUGGAAAAAUAGUAGCUAACUGUUGAUGUUUAAUAUAUGUAUAUGUAUGAAUAGUUGAAUCUGGGUUGUGCGGCAUUCAGAAUUUAAUUGAGAAUGCUAUUAAAUUUAAUGUUUUUCAUUGAUUUAGUAAUUGAAUUUGGAAUUGAGUUUGAAUUGAGGUAGCAAACAGGAUAUGGAAAUGAAGGUAUGAAUGCAAGGAAGUGAAAUUGAAAUUUUAACUGGAUGGAUGGAUUAUAUUUAAUAAAUAUUUUAUAAUAUGAUGUUUAUAAACCUUUGUGAACCUGGUCGGGAGAACACUCCAUUUGCCAAGAUUCAGUGCUUAUGUUGAAUUUCUUUGAAUUGCAAUUCAGUGAAGUUCACUUCCUGUCAUUCCAAUCUAAUUCAUGUGGGGUGUGACAAAUUUAGUUCAAAUUUCAAAUCAUAAAAUUGAAAGGGAACCAAUUCUAAAUUGAAAUCCCAAUCCUGAUUUCAAUAAAUAAAGCUUUUGACAAAAGACAUGACAUACAAACAUUUAUCCAUAACGGAUGAGUUUGCUGAACUUAACUGAAACUUGUUGUAUUUCUGUAGGUUAAAUUUACUUAAAAUGAUCUACAAGCACUUCUGUGGCAUGUUUGAGCAUUCGGAUCAAAUGUUCAGAAGGUAUGGAAAUUAAAAACGCCACAAAAUGUUAAUUUAUUUUAGUAUUUAGCUCUAGAAUUUUGUUUGAA